Non-coding RNA from Struthio camelus australis, 1221 nucleotides. Lineage: Eukaryota; Metazoa; Chordata; Aves; Struthioniformes; Struthionidae. The record is from RefSeq and is a predicted model, not a curated record.
CAAGACGGCUCACGCUGCUUUGGCUCCCGCGGAGCCCAGCGGGGCAGUUUCUUCUUAAGAAACCUGUCGGGACCAUAUGGCCUUUUAGCAGCGGCGUCCCUAGUUGUGUUAAAAACGGCUAAGAAAAUAACCGCCGGUUGUUUUGUCAUGCUUCGAGUAAGGUAUUUUGUAUAUCUGGCCUAAUUUUUUUUUUUUCCCUGUUACCCUUUCUAGGUUCCCUGCUAUUCUUAUGGUCAAAAGUUGUCCAAACUAGCCAUCUUGAGAAUAGCCUGUAACUAUAUCCUUUCCCUGGCCAGACUAGCAGACCUGGAUUACAGCGCUGACCACAGUAACAUGAGCUUCUCCGAGUGCGUGGAGCAGUGCACUAGGACCUUACAAGCCGAAGGAAGAUCUAAAAAAAGGAAGGAGUAGUGACGAGGAAGGGAGGCUUGAGACGCGCGUCCAGCCCGAGUUACAGCUAGUCUUGGCAAAGGUUGCGUGAUGCAGAUGAAGGCGGCAGGCGGCUUUUAUCUCGCAGAAGCCCCUCUUCGAGACGACGCUCGGCCGAGGAACUUUCCCAAUCUCUGGAACGGGAGGAAAAAAAGAAAGAAAGAAAGAAAGAAAAAAAAGGACGAGGAUGCUUCUUCUUGUUUUUUAAGCCAGCCACCUUUUAGUAUGUGCAAUUUAUUUAGCACUUUUCCCUUUGCUUAACUGGGAAAUGCUCCCCUCUCGGCUCAUGUGUACAGUAAUUUGUUGUUGUUGUUGUUGUUGUUGCUGACGUGCCAAAGAUUUGAUGGCGCUUCUACACUGUGUCUUCUUUUUGCCUUAACGUUCAAUCUUUGAGCCAAAGAAAAGUCAGAAAUUCCAUGCGGAUGCCGUCGCGCGGGCCAGUUAGCGAGCAGCGACAACUCUGACUUUCUGACUCCGUCGCUGAGUUCCCUCGUACUCCUCCUGUCCGCACGUCCCUGCCUGCAGCCCUGCAGCCGGCGGCCCUCACUGUGGGAACGAGCUGGGACACGCCGACUUGUGCUCCAGCGGUCAGCGUUUAUUUUUUGGGGGUUUCUUUUUUUUUUUUUUUCUCCUUUCUUUGAGCUCUUCCACAUUUCUACCUUUUUUUUUUUCUUUUUUUGGGCAAUUUCCCAGCGUGCUUUCCUGUGAAACGCAUCCGCAGGGUAGAAAUACUGACUCAAAGUGAGAGCUGAAACAGGAGCUAUGAUUUGAUUUGAAUUUUUUUUUUUUUAA